AUCACAAAAAAAAACAGAACAAACAAUACAAAAUAAUUAUGCUCCAGCAUGAAUGCAAAAUUCACGUUUCUAAACUUAUGAUAAAUUUUAAUUUGCUCAAAAUUAUUUAUUUUGCUAGAUUCAAAUGCUCACAAAAAUUCUUAAAUAAAUCCAAUUAAUUCCUAUUAAUUGAAAUUCACAUUUUGGGUGUUACAUCUCACUUGGGCUGCACUAAAGAGCUCCACUCAGUGAACUUAAACUAGCAAGCAAAGCAAGCUCUCAAAACUAAUUACACUAAAGAGCUUGCUACAACUAGUUUGCAAGAAUGUAAAGGAGUGAGUAGGAGCUUUUAUACCGUCAUGUAGAGAAGUUUACCAAUCAAUAUAAAUGUCAAUCAACCACCGGGAGAAAUCCAAAGAUGCAAGAAACAACACUUGGUGGUUCGGUGGCUAAGAGGUAUUGCAUGAACCUUGUCCUCACAUACUACACAAAUGAUUUGUUGGGAUCAAUAAAAAUAGGUCCAUUGUUGAAAGCUGGCUCCAUUCAAAAAAAUGCAAUAGAAUUGGUAUCAAUGCAACAAAAAAUAAAAAAAAUGUACAACCUUGAUGAAAAGUCAAAGGCUUCUAUUUCCUAAAAUAAUCAUGAAUACCGUUAUCCCUAAAGAUCCAUAGUAUACAAGAAUCAAAACAAUGUGACAAUCAUAUCUUUCUUUUCUUUGCUUCAAAAUCACUAUAAUUUUUAAGCACUGGUUUAUUUAAGUCUUGCUAGAUACUAAUCCAUAGCCUAUGGUUAUAUGGCUAGAUUUGUGGGCAGGCAGUCGGUCCACUAAAGUUGCCUUACCCACCAAUUUAUGGAGUGGCAUAAUUUCUAUAUAAUCCUGAUAGUUACAAAUUUUGAUGGAAUGUGUUUAGAGAGAAAGAGUAAAGGUCCUCCUUGAAAGUUUGUAGGAUGACUUAUCUUAGUCCAUGUGCGCGC
Molecule: long non-coding RNA, 954 nt
Filed under: Sorghum bicolor (sorghum)
Lineage: Eukaryota; Viridiplantae; Streptophyta; Magnoliopsida; Poales; Poaceae
Description: long non-coding RNA (SBIC_LNC009486)
Source: RNAcentral